RNAcentral lists this ribosomal RNA (774 nucleotides) under uncultured Neocallimastigales. RNAcentral describes it as "partial large subunit ribosomal RNA". It matches the Rfam family "Eukaryotic large subunit ribosomal RNA", at positions 26 to 637 of the family's 3401-position model. Lineage: Eukaryota; Fungi; Neocallimastigomycota; Neocallimastigomycetes; Neocallimastigales. The record is from RNAcentral.
CGCAUCUGUGCAUGCAGCAUAUCAAUAAGCGGAGGAAAAGAAACUAACAAGGAUUCCCCUAGUAACGGCGAGUGAAGCGGGAAGAGCUCAAAUUUGAAAUCUUAAAGGGUUUCCCUUUACGAAUUGUAGUUUAAAGAAGUGUUUUCUGUUGAGGUUUUGGUAAAAGUUCUUUGGAAUAGGACAUCAUAGAGGGUGAGAAUCCCGUAUUUGACCUUUACUUUCAACUUUGUGAUACACUUUCAAAGAGUCGGAUUGUUUGGGAAUGCAGUCCAAAAUGGGUGGUAAAUUUCAUCUAAAGCUAAAUAUUGGCGAGAGACCGAUAGCGAACAAGUACCGUGAGGGAAAGAUGAAAAGAACUUUGAAAAGAGAGUUAAACAGUACGUGAAAUUGUCAAAAGGGAAGCGUUUGACACCAGUGUUGUUUUUCUGAAAAUCAAUUAAAGAACUGUAUAUGCUAAGUUGUUUAGACUUUAUCAGCUAACUGUUUAGUUUUGAGCUUUUCUUUAAUGCACUUUUCAGUUAACAAGUCAACAUCAAUUUCUUUUGCUGUAAAAAAGCUUGAGGAAGGUGGCUUGAGAUUCGUCUUAAGUGUUUAUAGCCUCUUGCCUAUGCAGUCGGAGAGAUUGAGGUCCGCAGCGUAGAUCCUUCGGGGCUAAAUGCAUUUGUGCUAAGUUAUAGCAUUUUAUAGACAACUUGUUGACUAUGAUUUGUCUUGUAGCUUACUCGCUUAUGUUAUUUUACCUACGCUUAGGAUGUUGACAGCAGUAUAGACUGU